CCGGCGACCGGCGCACGGGUGAGUAACACGUAUGGAACCUGCCGCAGCAGGGGGAUAAGCGGAAGAAAUUCCGUCUAAUACCGCGUAACAACGUUGGGAGGCAUCUCCCGAUGUUUAAAGAUUUAUCGGCUGCGGAUGGCCAUGCGGCGCAUUAGCUAGUCGGCGGGGUAACGGCCCACCGAGGCGACGAUGCGUAGGGGUUCUGAGAGGAAGGUCCCCCACACUGGUACUGAGACACGGACCAGACUCCUACGGGAGGCAGCAG
Molecule: ribosomal RNA, 265 nt
Filed under: uncultured bacterium
Lineage: Bacteria
Description: partial 16S ribosomal RNA
Rfam family: Bacterial small subunit ribosomal RNA
Source: RNAcentral